AUACGGAGGGAGCGAGCGUUAAUCGGAAUUACUGGGCGUAAAGCGCACGUAGGUGGUUAGAUAAGUCGGAUGUGAAAGCCCCGAGCUCAACUUGGGAAUUGCAUUCGAUACUGUCUGACUAGAGUAUGGUAGAGGGAAGCGGAAUUCCACAUGUAGCGGUGAAAUGCGUAGAUAUGUGGAGGAACAUCAGUGGCGAAGGCGGCUUCCUGGAUCAAUACUGACACUGAGGUGCGAAAGCGUGGGGAGCAAACAGGAUUAGAAACCCGAGUAGUCC
Molecule: ribosomal RNA, 274 nt
Filed under: uncultured bacterium
Lineage: Bacteria
Description: partial 16S ribosomal RNA
Rfam family: Bacterial small subunit ribosomal RNA
Source: RNAcentral